GACGAACGCUGGCGGCGUGCCUAAUACAUGCAAGUUGAGCGAUGAAGCUUGGUGCUUGCACCAAUUUGAAGAGCAGCGAACGGGUGAGUAACGCGUGGGGAAUCUGCCUUUGAGCGGGGGACAACAUUUGGAAACGAAUGCUAAUACCGCAUAACAACUUUAAACAUAAGUUUUAAGUUUGAAAGAUGCAAUUGCAUCACUCAAAGAUGAUCCCGCGUUGUAUUAGCUAGUUGGUGAGGUAAAGGCUCACCAAGGCGAUGAUACAUAGCCGACCUGAGAGGGUGAUCGGCCACAUUGGAACUGAGACACGGACCAAACUCCUACGGGAGGCAGCAGUAGGGAAUCUUCGGCAAUGGACGAAAGUCUGACCGAGCAACGCCGCGUGAGUGAAGAAGGUUUUCGGAUCGUAAAACUCUGUUGGUAGGGAAGAACGUUGGUGAGAGUGGAAAGCUCAUCAAGUGACGGUAACUACCCAGAAAGGGACGGCUAACUACGU
This 496-nucleotide ribosomal RNA is filed under the name uncultured bacterium. RNAcentral's name for it is "partial 16S ribosomal RNA". It matches the Rfam family "Bacterial small subunit ribosomal RNA", at positions 28 to 506 of the family's 1533-position model. The record is from RNAcentral.